Oreochromis aureus is the source of this 424-nucleotide long non-coding RNA. RefSeq lists it as uncharacterized. Lineage: Eukaryota; Metazoa; Chordata; Actinopteri; Cichliformes; Cichlidae. The record is from RefSeq and is a predicted model, not a curated record. The transcript has 3 exons.
CCUAACCCCACUAAACUCUUUGGACUGCGGGAGGAAGUCGGAGAACUGGGAGAGAAAACUACACAAACAUGGAGAGUGUCAUGGUCUAGCUACGCACCAGAUUACCAGAUGCAAAUCUCCACCAUAGAACCCCCAUCCGGACGCUGGACCUCCUGACAGUCUCACGGUUUUACUCACUCCACGCACCUGCCUGCCUCCCUGUCUCAACGUCAGGAAUUUCGGAUUACUUACCACUCACCUGCACCACUCUCCCCUCCACGCCACCGAUCCACCUGCACCAGUGACUCUGACCCUUUCCCGGGACCCAGCCAUCCAGUCUGACUCUCCCUUUGGUCCAAACCACAGAACUGUAGUUUCCACAGUUGAAAAAUCACUGAUUGUUUACAUAACUCGGGUCGCAUAAGCGCCCCUUAGUUUUGGUGUU